RNAcentral lists this long non-coding RNA (568 nucleotides) under Manihot esculenta (cassava). RNAcentral's name for it is "long non-coding RNA (MESC_LNC003021)". The record is from RNAcentral. Lineage: Eukaryota; Viridiplantae; Streptophyta; Magnoliopsida; Malpighiales; Euphorbiaceae.
AUUCCCCUCUUCAGUUUCUUCAAUUUUAGAGAUUAACACAGUACUUGCAGUAUUAGCUCUUCCCCUGGCUAAGCGCUUCCUUUUCUUCUUUGGUAUGAUUGUUCUAGUGUUCUUCUUGGGUGGCUUGGCUUCGUCCUCUGCUAUUUGGACAAGGUGAUCUAGAGGUAUGAGAUUUAUAGGUUCUAGAUAAGGUUUUGGAAUUGUUAGAGGGACCAAGUCUUUGGUGAAGCCUUUUUUUCUGAUUGUCUAGAGGGACGAGGUAGCAUGUUGAGAUGGGCUAAGUGGAGGGGAUUGGAGGCUAGGUUCAACUGUAUCAGGGUCUCGAUUCACAGGGGUUGGGUCUCUAUCUUCUAGGCCUAAGCUUCUAGCUUCAAGAUCUUGGCCCAUAAAAAUAGACUUGGUGCAACCUAAAAAUCCUGUGUUGGUGCAACCUAAAAAUCCUGUGUUCCCUUCCUGUUAAGGUUGAUUGAACUUCAUUAAAUGCAUUUGUCCUUCCUCAAAACCAUGUUUUGAGCUCCCAUACCUAGAGUCUUGAGCAAGAAAUAACUCUGUUAUCACUGAUUGAAAA